This 449-nucleotide ribosomal RNA is filed under the name uncultured bacterium. RNAcentral's name for it is "partial 16S ribosomal RNA". It matches the Rfam family "Bacterial small subunit ribosomal RNA", at positions 29 to 523 of the family's 1533-position model. The record is from RNAcentral.
AACGAACGCUGGCGGCAUGCCUAACACAUGCAAGUCGAACGAACCCUUCGGGGUUAGUGGCGCACGGGUGCGUAACGCGUGGGGAUCUGCCCUUUGCUUCGGAAUAACAGUUAGAAAUGACUGCUAAUACUGGAUGAUGUCGCAAGACCAAAGAUUUAUCGGCAAAGGAUGAACCCGCGUAGGAUUAGCUAGUUGGUGAGGUAAAGGCUCACCAAGGCGACGAUCCUUAGCUGGUCUGAGAGGAUGAUCAGCCACACUGGGACUGAGACACGGCCCAGACUCCUACGGGAGGCAGCAGUGGGGAAUAUUGGACAAUGGGCGAAAGCCUGAUCCAGCAAUGCCGCGUGAGUGAUGAAGGCCCUAGGGUUGUAAAGCUCUUUUACCAGGGAUGAUAAUGACAGUACCUGGAGAAUAAGCUCCGGCUAACUUCAUGCCAGCAGCCGCAGUAA